CGCCUUUAGAUUUCUAAUUAAAGGUCCGGCCUGCCCUGUGAACCUCUUCAACGGCCGCGGUACCCUGACCGUGCUAAGGUAGCAUAAUCCCUUGCCUCUUAAUUAGUGGCUAGUAUGAAUGGCCAGACGAGCGUAACAUUGUCUCUAAUAAAUCUACAUAUAAUUUGACCCUCAGGUGAAGAGGCCUGAAUCCCUAAGUAGGACGAGAAGACCCUAUCGAGCUUCAUUAAUAUACAAUUUAUUUGCAUUACUAUGUUGUAUAUAAAUUUUGUUGGGGCAACAAAAGACCAACAAAAGCGUCUUUUUACUCUUUCGGUAAAUAAACCAAAAUGACCCAAUUUUAUUGAUCAAAAGAAACAGCUACCGUAGGGAUAACAGACUAAUCCCUUCCGAGAGCCCACAUUGACGAAGGGGCUUGGCACCUCGAUGUUGGCUUAGGGCCUCAUUAAAAAGCAGCAUUUUUAAUAGUAGGUUUGUUCAACCUUUAAAGCCCUA
Molecule: ribosomal RNA, 495 nt
Filed under: Nephasoma diaphanes
Lineage: Eukaryota; Metazoa; Annelida; Sipuncula; Golfingiida; Golfingiidae
Description: partial 16S ribosomal RNA
Rfam family: Bacterial large subunit ribosomal RNA
Source: RNAcentral